This 342-nucleotide ribosomal RNA is filed under the name uncultured eukaryote. Its description in RNAcentral is "bacterial SSU rRNA". It matches the Rfam family "Eukaryotic small subunit ribosomal RNA", at positions 592 to 997 of the family's 1831-position model. The record is from RNAcentral.
UAAUAGCAUAUAUUAAAGUUGUUGCAGUUAAAAAGCUCGUAGUUUAAUAAAGAGUGGAUAUGGAAACGUAGCACUCGGCGGGGGCGAACCCCACGUUUACUUUUGUAGAAAAAUAAGAGUGUUCAAAGACAAUCAAAAGAAUUGAAUAACCAUCAGCAUGGAAUAUAGCUAGACGACGCGCUUGUUAUGGUUAAAAGACGCGUAAUGCUUUAUUAGAAUCGGUUGGGGGCGAUUGGUAUUUUGUUGACGAGCGGUGAAAUAGCGUGGAGCCACGAAAGACUAACUCCUGCGAAAGCGUCUGCCCAGGACGACUUUUUUAAUUCAAGAACGAAAGUUAGGGGA